This is a long non-coding RNA of Raphanus sativus (radish), 1164 nucleotides long. RefSeq lists it as uncharacterized. The transcript is spliced from 2 exons. The record is from RefSeq and is a predicted model, not a curated record. Lineage: Eukaryota; Viridiplantae; Streptophyta; Magnoliopsida; Brassicales; Brassicaceae.
CAAUGUUGACAGCUUUUGCAGAUCAUAGCCACGUCUGCUGACUUAUCUCUACUUCGUAUCACGAUGACGGCAAUAACACGUGGACCUUUUAGAGUACCAAACUUUUUUUUUAUUAACCUAGAUUAUCCCAUACCUAUGAAAAACUUAGAUCAAUCUCUAAAUAGACGUGUUUUCUCUCUCUUAUCUCUCUCGAAUUAUUUAGAGAGAGAGAGCUUCGUCUUUUUACUGUGAGAAAUCAACAGGAUGGAUGAUGGGUUCUCUUCAUCUAUUCGCCGGAUUCUCAACGGUAUCGAUUCCCGGCAUUCGGGCUUUGACUCUGGCAAGCGGCGGUUUCGUUAACGUCGUCUUGGCCGGCUUCUCUUCCGGCAAGCAGCGGCUUCUAUAGUGUUGAUCUUGGCCGGCUUUCUCUCCGGCAUGCGAUGGCUUCUUCAGCGUCGUAUUGGCUGGUUUAUCUUCGUCCUAUCAUCGUUUCAUCUUCGAUGUUGGGUAGAUCUUUUACACCGGAUUUUCCGGUUUAUUUGUAUAGUAUUACGUUUUAUCUCUUGCGUUUAUUGUUUUGUCUCUCGUUGUUGUUGGUGCGUUUGAUCUAGAGCUUCCUGUUUCUGGUGUGUUCCGGUGCUCGAUUUAACUCUCCGGCGGCGAGCUUCUUGCCGGUGACGUGGGUGACGUUUCUGCUUCUGAGCCACAUGUCUUCUUCAUCUCUCUCGGAGCAACACGUGGCUUUGUGUUGUCGGUAAAAUGUUAUUAUUCACUUUUUGGGCUUUCGCUGUUUGGACCUUUUAUUACCCCUACUUGUGUUUAAUCUUUCGGACAGUGUUGUUCUUGUUGGCAUUUUGGGCUUUUAGUAAUAAAGAGAUGAUACAGAGGAAAAAAAAAACAAUUUCUAAAUAGACGUACAUUCCACGGUUCUUGUUAAUACUUUAAAGCUUUUACAUAUCGGCCCACGCUGUGGCGGCAUGAAAGGUUAAGCUUCGGGGAGUGUAUCAACGGGCUUUACUAAUACUAAUUCUUCCAUCUUGUGUUUUACAGUAUUCGGUCUAUUGAGCUACAAAUACAUCAAAAGCUGACAAUAUGUAUAUGUUAACGACAAUAUGUAUAUGUUGUUCAAAAAAAAAAAUGUAUAUGUUAACGACGAUUGUAUUUUUUGUAAACACUUUUUCAAUC